UGGGGAAUAUUGCACAAUGGGGGAAACCCUGAUGCAGCGACGCCGCGUGAGCGAAGAAGGUUUUCGAAUCGUAAAGCUCUGUCCUAUGGGAAGAUAAUGACGGUACCAUAGGAGGAAGCCCCGGCUAACUACGUGCCAGCAGCCGCGGUAAUACGUAGGGGGCAAGCGUUGUCCGGAAUCACUGGGCGUAAAGGGUUCGCAGGCGGAAAUGCAAGUCAGUUGUGAAAGGCAGAGGCUCAACCUCUGUAAGCAAUUGAAACUGUAUUUCUUGAGAUGUGGAGAGGCAAGUGGAAUUCCUAGUGUGGCGGUGAAAUGCGUAGAUAUUAGGAAGAAUACCGGUGGCGAAGGCGACUUGCUGGACACAAACUGACGCUGAGCAACGAAAGCGUGGGUAGCAAACAGG
Molecule: ribosomal RNA, 403 nt
Filed under: Fusobacteriota bacterium
Lineage: Bacteria; Fusobacteriati; Fusobacteriota
Description: Fusobacteria bacterium partial 16S ribosomal RNA
Rfam family: Bacterial small subunit ribosomal RNA
Source: RNAcentral